AUUAACCAACUUGAUUCAAAAUUGAUUUUAAGUAGACAUGAGUGGUGUUUCUGUGGCAUUAUUCAUAAUACUGCUAAUGUCUCCUGAGACUCGCUUUUGAAUACUCCUGGAAUAC
Molecule: non-coding RNA, 115 nt
Organism: Tribolium castaneum (red flour beetle)
Lineage: Eukaryota; Metazoa; Arthropoda; Insecta; Coleoptera; Tenebrionidae
Source: RefSeq, marked provisional